RNAcentral lists this unclassified non-coding RNA (378 nucleotides) under uncultured bacterium. RNAcentral's name for it is "contains 16S-23S intergenic spacer region". The record is from RNAcentral.
UCCGAGUUGACCCCGGCAGUCUCCUGCGAGUCCCCGCCAUUACGCGCUGGCAACACAGGACAAGGGUUGCGCUCGUUGCGGGACUUAACCCAACAUCUCACGACACGAGCUGACGACAACCAUGCAGCACCUGUCUCACGGUUCCCGAAGGCACCCCUCGAUCUCUCAAGGGUUCCGUGGAUGUCAAGGCCAGGUAAGGUUCUUCGCGUUGCAUCGAAUUAAACCACAUGCUCCACCGCUUGUGCGGGCCCCCGUCAACUCCUUUGAGUUUCAGCCUUGCGGCCGUACUCCCCAGGCGGGGCACUUAAUGCGUUAGCUGCGACACCGAAGGGGUCGUCCCACCGGCAUCUAGUGCCCAUCGUUUACGGCGUGGACUAC